Betta splendens (Siamese fighting fish) is the source of this 672-nucleotide long non-coding RNA. RefSeq lists it as uncharacterized. The transcript is spliced from 2 exons. NCBI's taxonomy places the organism in Eukaryota, Metazoa, Chordata, Actinopteri, Anabantiformes, Osphronemidae. The record is from RefSeq and is a predicted model, not a curated record.
AGGUGCAUGUUUCGCGGGGAGUCCACGCUAAAACGGACGGUUGAGCCGGGCAGAAGCACCCCCUCGUGACUCAGCAGCAGCGGAAGACGGUUCGGCAGACGAAUGCCACCACUGGAGGCCAUUUUUGAGGUUUACUAGAAGUUGCUGAAGAGGCAGUGCAUGGUGUGGCUGAAGUUAUCCAGGAGGGACUUUGGAGAAGCAAGUCGCCAGCCAGACUUUGGCACACUGUCGGGUAUUUCUGUUAAACUAUCAAAAAUGUCCUGGAUCGCAUCUGGAAUCUCCUGCUGUAACACCUGCACACAGAAGAAAACACACAGCGCUGCAUUGAAAUGGAUUCAUGAUGUGUCAUAAAAGUUCCGUUUCUGCAGGUCUGGCUGGACCUCAAUUAAAUGAUGAAUCAGUCUUCAUCUUCAUAUAAUAAUGCAGCAUCACUGUGUUUUGGUAUAAAGGGACCAACGCAGACCAGAGGCAUAGUAACUUACAGUACUUCACUAUAUAUGAUGCAGCUCAGUCCAAAGUUUGUCAUGUAUUCAAAUGAUCUCAAUUCCUUAACUACUAAAAGUUACUGUACAAGCAGACUUAAAAGAAAGCCGCUAAAUUGUUCACAGCACAAUGCAUCUAUAAGUUAAAUAAACAAAAAUAACCAAAUAAAUAAAAAAUGAAAAUAUGUUG